This 253-nucleotide ribosomal RNA is filed under the name uncultured bacterium. RNAcentral describes it as "partial 16S ribosomal RNA". It matches the Rfam family "Bacterial small subunit ribosomal RNA", at positions 524 to 776 of the family's 1533-position model. The record is from RNAcentral.
UACGUAGGGUGCAAGCGUUGUCCGGAAUUAUUGGGCGUAAAGAGCUCGUAGGCGGUUUGUCGCGUCUGCUGUGAAAACUCGGGGCUUAACUCCGGGCCUGCAGUGGGUACGGGCAGACUAGAGUGCGGUAGGGGAGACUGGAACUCCUGGUGUAGCGGUGAAAUGCGCAGAUAUCAGGAGGAACACCGGUGGCGAAGGCGGGUCUCUGGGCCGUAACUGACGCUGAGGAGCGAAAGCGUGGGGAGCGAACAGG